GUCUACGGCCAUACCACCCUGAACGCGCCCGAUCUUGUUUGAUCUCGGAAGCUAAGCAGGGACAGGCCUGGUUAGUACUUGGAUGGGAGGAACAAACUGUUCAAAAGAAACGGCAAACU
Molecule: ribosomal RNA, 119 nt
Filed under: Octodon degus (degu)
Lineage: Eukaryota; Metazoa; Chordata; Mammalia; Rodentia; Octodontidae
Source: RNAcentral